UCUGGGCCUGGACUUCUGGGC
Molecule: unclassified non-coding RNA, 21 nt
Filed under: Chlamydomonas reinhardtii
Lineage: Eukaryota; Viridiplantae; Chlorophyta; Chlorophyceae; Chlamydomonadales; Chlamydomonadaceae
Description: small RNA Cre_2795
Source: RNAcentral